This 497-nucleotide ribosomal RNA is filed under the name uncultured bacterium. Its description in RNAcentral is "partial 16S ribosomal RNA". It matches the Rfam family "Bacterial small subunit ribosomal RNA", at positions 28 to 507 of the family's 1533-position model. The record is from RNAcentral.
GAUGAACGCUGGCGGCGUGCCUAAUACAUGCAAGUCGAGCGAACGGACGAGAAGCUUGCUUUUCUGAUGUUAGCGGCGGACGGGUGAGUAACACGUGGAUAACCUACCUAUAAGACUGGGAUAACUUCGGGAAACCGGAGCUAAUACCGGAUAAUAUUUUGAACCGCAUGGUUCAAAAGUGAAAGACGGUCUUGCUGUCACUUAUAGAUGGAUCCGCGCUGCAUUAGCUAGUUGGUAAGGUAACGGCUUACCAAGGCAACGAUGCAUAGCCGACCUGAGAGGGGGGUAGCCCGCCUUGGAGGGAGACCGGCCCCAAGCGCCCUGGGGGAGGGACCAGUAGGAUACCGUCCGCAGUGGGGAGGACCAUGGCAAAGCGGGCCGAGGGGGGAGGUAGAGUUGUCGGGUGCGUAAUACUUUGUGUUGGGGGAAAAACAGAUUUCAAAGUAAAUGAACCCUUUUUGACGGUACCUAAUAAAAAAGCCCCGGCUAACUACGUG